GGUGGACUCCGGGAUGUCGGAAUCCUUUAGAGGGUAGGAGAUAUGAGUUUCUCAAGACAUGGUGUGUGGUUUAUUGUGUUACAGGUAAAUGGAACCAAGUUUUGAGUUGAAAUGGACCAAGGCAGAGGAGCCAAGUUCGGCCGCCGAAGAUAAGUUCGGCCGCCGAAAGUGCCCAAUAUUCGGCUUCCGAAUUCAGGUUCGGCCCCCGAAUGUUGCAUGAUUUUGCAUGCGAUUCGGCAGCCGAAGCUGAGUUGCUGAGCCAGCAGUUUUGUAUCCCUUAGUCAGCAUUUU
RNAcentral lists this long non-coding RNA (291 nucleotides) under Manihot esculenta (cassava). RNAcentral describes it as "long non-coding RNA (MESC_LNC008514)". Lineage: Eukaryota; Viridiplantae; Streptophyta; Magnoliopsida; Malpighiales; Euphorbiaceae. The record is from RNAcentral.